CGCCCGCAAGGGGAGCGGCAGACGGGUGAGUAACGCGUGGGAAUCCACCCAUCUCUACGGAACAACAGUUGGAAACGACUGCUAAUACCGUAUACGCCCUUAGGGGGAAAGAUUUAUCGGAGAUGGACGAGCCCGCGUUGGAUUAGCUAGUUGGUGGGGUAAAGGCCUACCAAGGCGACGAUCCAUAGCUGGUCUGAGAGGAUGAUCAGCCACAUUGGGACUGAGACACGGCCCAA
This 236-nucleotide ribosomal RNA is filed under the name uncultured bacterium. RNAcentral's name for it is "partial 16S ribosomal RNA". It matches the Rfam family "Bacterial small subunit ribosomal RNA", at positions 81 to 334 of the family's 1533-position model. The record is from RNAcentral.